UUCCCCCUGCGAUGUUGGUGACUAGUAGUAUUUUUGAGCCAACAUUGUCGGCCUAGGGGGUCGCCAGGGCUCUGGUGAGCAUGGCUCUGCCUAAAGCGGAGAAAGCCUGAAAGAGUAGUGAGCGACGCCCACUUAAGAUUAGGUUCGAUAAAUCUACUAGCACGGCAUUGGGGCGGGGGGAUU
This 183-nucleotide non-coding RNA is filed under the name Pseudomonadota bacterium. RNAcentral's name for it is "Proteobacteria bacterium (sediment metagenome) 6S RNA". It matches the Rfam family "6S / SsrS RNA". Rfam says of the family: E. coli 6S RNA was the first non coding RNA to be sequenced, but its function was unknown until recently. It consists of 184 nucleotides that fold into an extended hairpin structure with a large single-stranded internal bulge. Lineage: Bacteria; Pseudomonadati; Pseudomonadota. The record is from RNAcentral.